This 424-nucleotide ribosomal RNA is filed under the name uncultured prokaryote. RNAcentral describes it as "bacterial SSU rRNA". It matches the Rfam family "Bacterial small subunit ribosomal RNA", at positions 355 to 796 of the family's 1533-position model. The record is from RNAcentral.
UGAGGAAUUUUUCGCAAUGGGCGCAAGCCUGACGAAGCAAUGCCGCGUGAAGGAUGAAGGCCUGCGGGUUGUAAACUUCUUUUAUUAGAGAAGAUAAUGACGGUAUCUAAUGAAUAAGCAUCGGCUAAAUAUGUGCCAGCAGCCGCGGUAAUACAUAUGAUGCAAGCGUUAUCCGGAAUGAUUGGGCGUAAAGCGUCUGUAGGUGGUUUAAAAAGUCAACUGUCAAAAACUAAGGCUUAACCUUGGGCAGGCAGUUGAAACUUUUAGACUAGAGUAUGGCAGAGGUAGAGGGAAUUACUGGUGUAACGGUGAAAUGUGCAGAUAUCAGUAAGAACACCUAUGGCGAAAGCACUCUACUGGACCAAAACUGACACUCAGAGACGAAAGCUAGGGGAGCGAAUAGGAUUAGAUACCCCCGUAGUCC